CUACCAACCCUUCUCAAAGAUUCCAUAUAUGAGUGUGAUCAUGUGAUACUUGUAUUUCUCUGCCUGCUGUCUCAAAGGGGGACCUCUCUCCCGUCUGAUG
Molecule: long non-coding RNA, 100 nt
Organism: Eptesicus fuscus (big brown bat)
Lineage: Eukaryota; Metazoa; Chordata; Mammalia; Chiroptera; Vespertilionidae
Exons: 3
Source: RefSeq, a predicted model, not a curated record